GACGAACGCUGGCGGCGUGCUUAACACAUGCAAGUCGAACGGAAAGGCCCUGCUUGCAGGGUACUCGAGUGGCGAACGGGUGAGUAACACGUGGGUGAUCUGCCCUGCACUUCGGGAUAAGCCUGGGAAACUGGGUCUAAUACCGGAUAGGAGCCAUUUUUAGUGUGAUGGUUGGAAAGUUUUUUCGGUGUAGGAUGAGCUCGCGGCCUAUCAGCUUGUUGGUGGGGUAAUGGCCUACCAAGGCGGCGACGGGUAGCCGGCCUGAGAGGGUGGACGGCCACAUUGGGACUGAGAUACGGCCCAGACUCCGACGGGAGGCAGCGGUGGGGAAUAUUGCACAAGGGGCGAAAGCCUGAUGCAGCGACGCCGCGUGGGGGAUGACGGCCUUCGGGUUGUAAACUCCUUUCGCUAGGGACGAAGCUUUUUGUGACGGUACCUAGAUAAGAAGCACCGGCUAACUACGUG
This 465-nucleotide ribosomal RNA is filed under the name uncultured bacterium. Its description in RNAcentral is "partial 16S ribosomal RNA". It matches the Rfam family "Bacterial small subunit ribosomal RNA", at positions 28 to 507 of the family's 1533-position model. The record is from RNAcentral.